GACGAACGCUGGCGGCGUGCCUAACACAUGCAAGUCGUGCGAGAAAGUUCCUUCGGGAGCGAGUAAAGCGGCGCACGGGUGAGUAACACGUAGGUAACCUGCCCCCCAGUCUGGAACAACUAGAGGAAACUCUAGCUAAUGCCGGAUGAGACCACGAUCCCUUCGGGGGUUGCGGCCAAAGAUGGCCUCUACUUGUAAGCUAUCGCUGAGGGAUGGGCCUGCGGGCCAUUAGCUUGUUGGUGAGGUAACGGCUCACCAAGGCUGUGAUGGCUAGCUGGUCUGAGAGGAUGACCAGCCACACUGGGACUGAGACACGGCCCAGACUCCUACGGAGCAGCAGUGGGGAAUAUUGCGCAAUGGGCGAAAGCCUGACGCAGCGACGCCG
This 385-nucleotide ribosomal RNA is filed under the name uncultured bacterium. RNAcentral describes it as "bacterial SSU rRNA". It matches the Rfam family "Bacterial small subunit ribosomal RNA", at positions 28 to 399 of the family's 1533-position model. The record is from RNAcentral.